This 305-nucleotide ribosomal RNA is filed under the name uncultured bacterium. RNAcentral describes it as "bacterial SSU rRNA". It matches the Rfam family "Bacterial small subunit ribosomal RNA", at positions 333 to 655 of the family's 1533-position model. The record is from RNAcentral.
GUGAACCUACGGGGGGCAGCAGUGGGGGAUAUUGCACAAUGGGGGAAACCCUGAUGCAGCAACGCCGCGUGAGUGAUGACGGCCUUCGGGUUGUAAAGCUCUGUCUUCAGGGACGAUAAUGACGGUACCUGAGGAGGAAGCCACGGCUAACUACGUGCCAGCAGCCGCGGUAAUACGUAGGUGGCGAGCGUUGUCCGGAUUUACUGGGUGUAAAGGGAGCGCAGGCGGCACGGCAAGCCUGAUGUGAAAGCCCGCGGCCCAACCGCGGGACUGCAUUGGGAACUACCGGGCUGGAGUGCCGGAGG